AACGAACGCUGGCGGCAUGCCUAACACAUGCAAGUCGAGCGAGGACUUCGGUCCUAGCGGCGGACGGGUGUGUAACGCGUGGGAACGUGCCCUUUGCUUCGGCAUAGCUCUGGGAAACUGGGAGUAAUACCGGAUGAGACCUAUGGGGGAAAGAUUUAUCGGCGCAGGAGCGGCCCGCGUUGGAUUCGGUGGUUGGUGGGGUUAUGGACUCCCAAGCCGCGGAUCCAUAGGUUGUUUGAGAGGAAGAUCAGACACACUGGGACUGGGACGCGGCCCAGAAUCUUCCGGGAGGCAGGAGAGGGGGAUGUUAGACAGUGGGGGAAGCCAUGAUCGAGCCAGGCCGGGAAAGCGAUGAAGGCAUUAGGGUUGUAAAGCUCUUUCAGCUGGGAAGAUAAUGACGGUACCAGCAGAAGAAGCCCCGGCUAACUCCGUG
Molecule: ribosomal RNA, 433 nt
Filed under: uncultured bacterium
Lineage: Bacteria
Description: partial 16S ribosomal RNA
Rfam family: Bacterial small subunit ribosomal RNA
Source: RNAcentral